This 253-nucleotide ribosomal RNA is filed under the name uncultured bacterium. RNAcentral's name for it is "partial 16S ribosomal RNA". It matches the Rfam family "Bacterial small subunit ribosomal RNA", at positions 524 to 776 of the family's 1533-position model. The record is from RNAcentral.
GACAGAGGUGCCAAGCGUUAGGCGGAAUCACUGGGCUUAAAGCGUGUGUAGGCGGGUCUCUAAGUGCCUUGUGAAAUCCCACGGCUCAACCGUGGAACUGCUGGGCAUACUGGAGGUCUUGAGCCACCUAGGGGCGAGCGGAACGAAUGGUGGAGCGGUGAAAUGCGUAGAUAUCAUUCGGAACGCCAACGGUGAAAACAGCUCGCUGGGGGUGUGCUGACGCUGAGACACGAAAGCCAGGGGAUCAAACGGG